Long non-coding RNA from Chelonoidis abingdonii (Abingdon island giant tortoise), 2060 nucleotides. The record is from Ensembl. NCBI's taxonomy places the organism in Eukaryota, Metazoa, Chordata, Testudines, Testudinidae.
GGUGCCGGGCGGCUCGAUGUCCCCAGCCCCUAGCACGGGACAGCAUGGGGGGGACCCCAGUAGCUACCUGCCCGGGGGGGGCAGCCUGGAUCCUGGCUUGUGUAACUGGGGACGUUGCUCUGCUCUCCGGCCCGCCCGACACGGCACCUGCCCUCUGGGCAGACAGCUGGGAAGGGAGCUCUCCGGGCCCUCACCUCCGGAAGGAAAGAGGCGCAGCGGCGACAGUAGAGGAAGAUUUGCUCCCCACUGAUCCAUGGUGUUGAGUUUAUGGAAGUUACCACAUUAUCCUUUCACUUAGAUUCUGAUAUGCUGUUGGAACCACUUAUGAAAAGCUCUGUAUCUGAAUACAUUGAGUAUGAAUUGUGAACUCCUGGAUGCUGUUCCCUUGAUUAAACAGAUAUUAUACGUGCCUUUAUGAGGGAUUAAACAUACAGCAACCAGCCCAAGAAAUUCUCUGGUCUAACGUCAGUUGAGCUCCUACUCUAUGUCCCAAGCGUAACCCUCAGUGGAUACAACAGGGACCAUCACUCGAAGAAGAAUGAGGCUUCCAUCUCCAGACUUCAUACUGACUGUGAAGAAAAGUACAGCCAUUAAUGGAUACUCUUAACACAGAAACCCCGGAGCCCCUGCAUCUACCUUCUGUUAUCCUAAAAUUUGUACUUAAAGUCAGACAUUUAAAAACAAAAAAAACACACCAGAAUGUUAAUUGCACACUGCAUCAAACUCUUGUACAUCUGCUCCCCAGUCCGCUUCACUCUUGUCCAGCAAGGCACUAGGAAAUGGUUCAAGUUUAGGCAUUUGCUGUACACUUGCAUUUAAAAAGGCACAUCUUUAUUUUAACGAUGCUGUAUUCCCCUUUCAUUAAACCUCACACAACAUUCCACUGGGGGGGGGGGGGGGGAGGGAGGGAGGGAUUGUUGCUAAAGCCUACAGGAAAACUCCCUGCACCCAGGUAGUUUGCUCACAGAGGUCAGACAUUAACACCACUAUGAAAUAGGCAAGAGACGCAAGCGCAUUUUGGGUAUUGAAAUGUAUGUGAACACACCACACAGCAACCCACUGGACUUCAGGAUUCUUAUAUGCAGUCUUGCCACAAACUAGAGAAUUUAAUGAAGCCAGGGGCAGAGAUUUUUUUUUAAAUUACAGUUUUGAAAACUACUGUAUCUGGAUGUGAAAAGCAUGCGUUUUCCAUUAGGUAACCGAUCGCAUUUGAGACCUGAUCUUGACUUGCAUGCAAAUGUGAGGAUUUGUUUAUGGAUUCAUGCUUUGGUGAUUUUUGCUUAUAACAACUAACUAAACAUAAUUGGAAUAAUUAGCCUGAUUGCUCAGCAAAAGCUCAAUUAAAGAUGAAGACUGAGAAAUAGAAAUUAUAUUUCUCAAUCAGUAGGUGGCCGACUAUGGUAAUACUUCCCAUUAGUCAGCAAAGCCUCUGGGGCAUUGAAAUGUCUAAUUAAUGUAAGUAAAAUAGCAGCUCAAGGAACACCACUGACACAAUCAGACAUAGGCACACUGAAUUCAUGGGACAUUCAUGUUUUGAAAUCCAUAACUUUGUGAAAUGAACCAGAUUGACAGCACUUCAACUGAGCUGGAGAGACCACCCUUAAACGAGAUUAAAGCAUUCCUGGCCAUUCAAUUCUUGGCCUCUGUGCUGAGCUGGGCAGCAGUGGUAGCGGUUGUGAGAGUGGUUCUGUGACCAAUAUCUGUCAAGUAGGAACUGCAUUAAGAUCACCUAGUGUUUUGGUGCAUGUUGCCAAACAACUGCCCUUGAGCCAAAGUCAAAUCACUGACCUAGAUAUCAAAGGCUCCCUACCCAUUACCAAUCAUCUCAGAAGCUUGUGUCCAACAUGCUGGACAGCUAAAAGUGUCCAAAACUUUACUCACAAGGUGAGCCCAAGUACAGAGAAAGUCAUGUAUUUUAAACAGAAGCUGAUCCCCUAAUGAAGUGGAAAACUAAAAUGCAGGCAUUAACGUGACAGCACUGCUAGCUGCAGUGGAAUGAUCAACAGAUCAUGUACCGACCUUGUGUUCCAAUUAUAAUAAACUAGUGCUCUUCACGUACA